ACCGACGUAGGUCGCUUACGUGUGGUGUGCAUGUGUAUGUGUGUGUGUGUGUGUGUGUGUGUGUGUGAGAGAGAGAGAGAAAGAGAGAACACACAGACUCAACCGGUGCGCACGUGCACGUAGGUAUACGCAUGUAGGUACACGCGGGGUAAGCCAUCGUGGCUUCAUUCACGUCAGAUGUGAGGCGACCACGUCAUUUAUCUGCCAGCCAGCCGGGCUAACGAUGCAUUGCUUGUUUGUUGGCCGAAGUCGUGACAUCGCUAUAUAGACCGCGCGCGCGGCCGCGCAUUCGUACACGAAAUGCAGAUGCACACGUUCUUGAGGAUGGAAAUAAGUGAAUUACGCCGCGAGCAGCGCCAGCUGUGCGAAAUGGUGUUACAAUGAAGCAGAUGCAUACUUGACACUUGGUGGGAAAAAAAAAAAAAACAGAAAACGGAGAGGACACAGGAAAAUUACGCUAAAUUAAGACAUUAACUUAGUCGUUGGAAAAGUUCAGUUCUGAAGAAACAAGCAAGAGUCCAUGUUGCGCGGAGACAUUUCAGAAUGCAAUGGAAAAGGUAACCACUUGAUUCAGCCUCUGCGAAAUACUCGUCGUAAAUGCCGACGAAAUCAUCGACGA
Harpegnathos saltator (Jerdon's jumping ant) is the source of this 619-nucleotide long non-coding RNA. RefSeq lists it as uncharacterized. Lineage: Eukaryota; Metazoa; Arthropoda; Insecta; Hymenoptera; Formicidae. The transcript is spliced from 3 exons. The record is from RefSeq and is a predicted model, not a curated record.